Aedes albopictus (Asian tiger mosquito) is the source of this 529-nucleotide long non-coding RNA. RefSeq lists it as uncharacterized. The record is from RefSeq and is a predicted model, not a curated record. The transcript is spliced from 2 exons. Lineage: Eukaryota; Metazoa; Arthropoda; Insecta; Diptera; Culicidae.
AAGCGGCGCUUGAAAAUGAUCAACUGUGAGCCUUCGCGUGGACGCACGACCGCAGGACGUGAUUUGAGGAUUUAAGUAGGCCAUGAAAAACUGACCGGUUCGAGGAGAUCAGAAAUUUUAAUCAUUCAAUUUUGGACCUUCAAGAAAGCCAGACGAACAAAAUUAACAGCAAGAGCAGUCCGAACUCAACUGAAGAAGCAGAAAAUCUCCGGACCUGACCCCUUCCCCCCUAAUUUCAAGCAACAACAAAUUUGCGGCAAUGCCGAAACUGAAUAACACGCCACCCCUUGAAGAGGACGAAUAUGAACAGCAACCCAACGAUGCGAUGGGCCGUCGGCGUAGGUCCCGACGCCGUUCCCGUUCUCGUUCGCGAUCGCGGCCACGUUCCAUGUCCCGCCGGCGUCGUAGCCGCAGCCGUCGUCGCCACUAGGAAAAACGACCGCCCCACUUUCCCCCCACACUAGACAAAAAGGGGUCGUUGAAAUUCGCACUUUUUACCUAAAUAAACAGUACUGAAAAAAGAAAUCAA